RNAcentral lists this ribosomal RNA (517 nucleotides) under uncultured bacterium. RNAcentral's name for it is "bacterial SSU rRNA". It matches the Rfam family "Bacterial small subunit ribosomal RNA", at positions 1 to 518 of the family's 1533-position model. The record is from RNAcentral.
GAAUUGAUCUGGUCAGAACGAACGCUGGCGGCGCGUUUAAGCAUGCAAGUCGAGCGGCAAGGGCCUUCGGGCCCCUAGAGCGGCGGACGGGUGAGUAACACGUGGACAAUCUGCCCCCCGGCCCGGGAUAGCCCAGGGAAACCUGGAUUAAUACCGGAUGAGACGGGACCCGCGAUGGCGGGACCCGGGAAAGGCGCUGCGGCGCCGCCGGGGGAUGAGUCUGCGUCCCAUUAGCUAGACGGCGGGGUAACGGCCCACCGUGGCGACCGAUGGGUAGCCGGCCUGAGAGGGUGGACGGCCACAUUGGAACUGAGACACGGUCCAGACUCCUACGGGAGGCAGCAGCUAAGAAUCUUCCGCAAUGGGCGAAAGCCUGACGGAGCCGACGCCGCGUGAACGAAGAAGGCCGUGAGGUUGUAAAGUUCUUUUCGGGAGGGGGAACAACCGUGGCAGGGAAUGGCCGCGGGAUGACGUGAAUCCCGGAAUAAGCCCCGGCUAACUACGUGCCAGCCGCAGC